AGUGCACGCUGGCGGUAGGCCUAACACAUGCAAGUCGAACGGCAGCACAGUAAGAGCUUGCUCUUACGGGUGGCGAGUGGCGGACGGGUGAGGAAUACAUCGGAAUCUACUUUUUCGUGGGGGAUAACGUAGGGAAACUUACGCUAAUACCGCAUACGACCUACGGGUGAAAGCAGGGGAUCUUCGGACCUUGCGCGAUUGAAUGAGCCGAUGUCGGAUUAGCUAGUUGGCGGGGUAAAGGCCCACCAAGGCGACGAUCCGUAGAUGGUCUGAGAGGAUGAUAAGCCACACUGGAACUGAGACACGGUCCAGACUCCUAAGGGAGGCAGCAGUGGGGAAUAUUGGACGAUGGGCGCAAGCCUGAUCCAGCCAUACCGCGUGGGUGAAGAAGGCCUUCGGGUUGUAAAGCACUUUUGUUGGGAAAGAAAAGCAGCAGGUUAAUACCGCGCUGUUCUGACGGUACCCAAAGAAUAAGCACCGGCUAACUUCGUG
RNAcentral lists this ribosomal RNA (492 nucleotides) under uncultured bacterium. Its description in RNAcentral is "partial 16S ribosomal RNA". It matches the Rfam family "Bacterial small subunit ribosomal RNA", at positions 29 to 507 of the family's 1533-position model. The record is from RNAcentral.